Molecule: ribosomal RNA, 776 nt
Filed under: uncultured Neocallimastigales
Lineage: Eukaryota; Fungi; Neocallimastigomycota; Neocallimastigomycetes; Neocallimastigales
Description: partial large subunit ribosomal RNA
Rfam family: Eukaryotic large subunit ribosomal RNA
Source: RNAcentral
UCAGACGAUGCGUCAUGCAUAUCAAUAAGCGGAGGAAAAGAAACUAACAAGGAUUCCCUUAGUAACGGCGAGUGGAGCGGGAAGAGCUCAAAUUUGAAAUCUUCAAGGUUUUACCUUGACGAAUUGUAGUUUAAAGAAGUGUUUUCUGCUGAAGUUUUGGUAAAAGUUCUUUGGAAUAGGACAUCAUAGAGGGUGAGAAUCCCGUAUUUGACCAUUAUUUUCAGCUUUGUGAUACACUUUCAAAGAGUCGGAUUGUUUGGGAAUGCAGUCCAAAAUGGGUGGUAAAUUUCAUCUAAAGCUAAAUAUUGGCGAGAGACCGAUAGCGAACAAGUACCGUGAGGGAAAGAUGAAAAGAACUUUGAAAAGAGAGUUAAACAGUACGUGAAAUUGUCAAAAGGGAAGCGUUUGACACCAGUGUUGUUUUCUCGAAAAUCAAUUAAAAAUGGCUCGAUUUUGUAUUGCUUGAGACCUUAAAAGCUCACUGUACAUUUUUCGUGUCUUUUUUAAUGCACUUUUCGUUUAACAAGUCAAGCAUCAGUUUCUUUUGUUGUAAAAGGGUCAUUGGAAGGUGGCUUUCUUUUCGGAGAAAGUGUUUAUAGCCUUUGGCCUCUGCAAUCGGAGAGACUGAGGUCUGCAGCGUAGACUCUUCGGGGUUAGAUACAUUUGUGCUAAGUUAUAGCUUUUUAUAGACAACUUGUUGACUAUAAUUAGUCUUGUAGCUUACUCGCUUAUGCUAUUUUACCUACGCUUAGGAUGUUGAACUACUGAGACAUAGA